GAGUAACGCGUGGGUAACCUGCCUUAUACAGGGGGAUAACAGUCAGAAAUGGCUGCUAAUACCGCAUAAGCGCACAGAGCUGCAUGGCUCAGUGUGAAAAACUCCGGUGGUAUAAGAUGGACCCGCGUUGGAUUAGCUAGUUGGUGAGGUAACGGCCUACCAAGGCGACGAUCCAUAGCCGGCCUGAGAGGGUGAACGGCCACAUUGGGACUGAGACACGGCCCAGACUCCUACGGGAGGCAGCAUG
This 247-nucleotide ribosomal RNA is filed under the name uncultured bacterium. RNAcentral's name for it is "partial 16S ribosomal RNA". It matches the Rfam family "Bacterial small subunit ribosomal RNA", at positions 108 to 353 of the family's 1533-position model. The record is from RNAcentral.